This is a long non-coding RNA of Nasonia vitripennis (jewel wasp), 572 nucleotides long. RefSeq lists it as uncharacterized. NCBI's taxonomy places the organism in Eukaryota, Metazoa, Arthropoda, Insecta, Hymenoptera, Pteromalidae. The transcript has 3 exons. The record is from RefSeq and is a predicted model, not a curated record.
UGUAACCGCGUAUAAAGAAGUAUACGUGACGUAUCUGAGCGUGAGAACAACAAACAACAAAACAAUACGUGUUUAUGUUGAUAACAAAAAAGCUUGUAGAGUAUACAUGGUUUGGAGUUAACAGCUUAUUAAGGAAGAAUAAAAGAUUUUCAAGAGUACAUAGCUUACAUGGCUUGGAGCCAAUAACUUUAAUAAGGGAGAGAGAAAAGAGCACCUGGCAAAUAACAUGCAACUUCAUUUUUACUUUCUACAACAUUCCACCUGUUGAUUUCCAAUUAUUCGGUGCAAGUCAACGUUCAUUUUAGCAAAAACAGCUAAAAUUUGGAUUGAAGAAUAACGGUACUCUCUAUGUCCUACAAAAAUACAAAAUUGUAAGGUUUUCUGUCUUUGAAUAAAGCUAAUGACUAUAAUAUUAAUGAAGUGUGAUAUUUAACAUCCUAAGUAAUUAUAACUGAUUAUUGCAGUUUAGUGAAAUUUGUUAUUAUGACUGAUCAUAGUAUUACUGAACUUUGAUAAAAUUACUGUAAUAAUUGUCACAAAUGUAACAAUAAAAUAAAUAAUUUCAAUUUUUC